Molecule: unclassified non-coding RNA, 4399 nt
Filed under: Haliotis rubra (blacklip abalone)
Lineage: Eukaryota; Metazoa; Mollusca; Gastropoda; Lepetellida; Haliotidae
Description: sH2B adapter protein 1-like, transcript variant X1
Source: RNAcentral
UCUUAUGUGGAUAAUAUACGUCGACAAAAACAACAAGAGGGAUUGUCACUAUUUUCUAACGUUGUUGACGCGCAUCUAUUUAUAACGCGACAGCGGAAGGCGCGUCACAACAGAGCGCGGCGAGCGAGUACAACUUUUAUGAGUAGUUGUUUCUUUAGUAGCAUCUGUGUGUGCCGAGUGAGUGUAGACGUGAUUAGAUGAUCUUCGCCGUAAAAACACGGCGAUCAGAAGCAGUUGUGUCCCUGUCGGUGACCACGCCACCCAUGGAGGGUUGAGGUAGAGAUGGCGACAGUGAACGGAGACGACGGGGGUGGCUCCCCACCCCCUCAUCUACCCUGGGCUUUAUUUUGUGAACAGCAUGCGAAAGCCGCAGCCGUGGAGUUUGUGCGAUCCUUCCUCUUAUAUCAAAGGAGUUCUAGUUUAACGGACUCUCGGGACCCGUGUGACUAUUCCCGAAAAUUUGCGGAAUGUUUUCAACGCCAAUUCGCCCUUGAAAUUCGUAGAUCGUCUUUUGUGUUAGAUCAGAGUGCAGAAGCUAAAUUGAUUGUACCGGAGGAAACCUCCCCCCAAGAAAAUGGCUCGGCUGACUAUACCGACCAGGACAUCCAUCUCGGUGAGGCCAGCCCUUCCAAAAGAACACACAAAAGUCUACUACGCAGAUUAUCUUUUAAAAACAUUCGAAAGGGAAGAUUAUUCAAGCAAUCUUCGGACGAGCUUGAUGUAUCUGACACUAAUCACAGAAAACACAAGCACAAACAUGAUAAAUCGAAACAAGGAAAAUUGACGAGCAAAUCCGAGGGACAAAUCGAAUUGAAAAAAGAGGGGGUUGUGCAUGUCCUCAGUGGGGAGGAUUCUAAAGGAAAAUCCAAAUGGGAGCGGACACGUUUAGUACUUCUCAAAACCACAGGAGGAUAUUUGCUGGAAUUUUAUUCACCGCCUAAGUCCAUGAAGCCAAAGUCCGGGUUGUUCUGUUUACUCAUUACUGAUGCAAGGGAGACAACUGCACUAGAGAUGCCAGAUCAUGAAAAUUCUUUUGUGAUGAAGGGAGAAGGCACGAUAGAGUAUGUGAUCGAGGCAUCAUCGUAUUCAGAGAUGAAGAGCUGGCUGGAGGUGGUUCAGGGGGUGAUACAGCACAACCGAUGUACAGAAGAUGAUUCUCAGGCCAUGAGACCAAGGCUUCCCACUGCUCCAUCAGGCUCAAUAGAGAGAAAAGAGUCCCCUCCUAUCAGUGCCCACCAGCGCAGUUCCUCUCAGGGUUCCAUUGGAGCAAACCCACCGGAGGUGCCUCCUCGUCCUUCCCCCCGACCGUGGAGCACACCCCAUGCCACGCCUGUAUCCAGUAGAGUAUCAAGUGCAGUGGAUGUGGCCGGUUCACCCAGAUACGACAGUGGCUUCGAACAUCGGGAUAUGCUUGGUGAAGGCUCAAUUGACACAAUGUUGCGGGAAUAUCCCUGGUUCCAUGGGACCCUGUCUCGAGCUGAAGCUGCUCAGCUGGUCCUGCAACAAGGUCCGAUCGGACAUGGCGUGUUCCUUGUCCGGAAGAGUGAGACACGGACAGGGGAAUAUGUCCUCACUUUUAACUUCCAGGGUAGAGCUAAGCAUUUACGGAUGACAAUUAACAAUGAAGGGCAAUGUCGUGUACAACACCUGUGGUUUCAGACAAUAUUUGACAUGCUGGAGCAUUUCCGUACACAUCCUAUCCCACUGGAAUCUGGAGGGUCAUCGGAUGUUACCUUAACAGACUAUAUCGUUGCCAUGGAGAGGCCGCGUACUCCUACGACCUUGCCGCGGGGAUCACCAAGAUCACAUGGAAAUGCAGGGGGGAUCAGAAAUUCUUUAUCAGCACAUCAUGGGCAUUUUGACAAUAAUCGUGACAUUGUUGUGAUAAGUGGUUCUGUGAGGUCAAGGACAUCGUCCAUUGAGAAUGUUGUACGGGAACAGGCCCAAGGCUCACAGCAACAGCUCUCUCAUGGCCGGGCAGUGGAGAAUCACUACUCGUUUGUGUGAUUGAGAGUCACUUGUUACGUGUUACACUGUUGGAGUUAACCUAUAGAGUCAUCAAAUCCAGAUGCUGGGUAGACAGGUGCAGCUUGCACAAACUGUGGUACAACUGCCAGUCCUUCGGGGAACAGCCGUGCUCUGGUAGUGAUCAUGGGGUGACAAAUUUUGUAGGUCCUAAUUAGUGAUUUCAGGUAUUCAUUGGACCAUCAUUCUCCGGGUUUAUUAUGGGAGAAGAUUUAGGUUUCUCAAUAUCAUGGCUGAUAACAGUGGCACUCCUGUAUGUUCGGGUCAGUUCGUACUGUAAAUUCACAUACAUGGCGAAGAUACACAGUGGAGAUUCACAGUGUCAUUGAGCUAACAUUCAGGACAUAACCAAACCAAGGUGAAGCUGUACCUUAAAAUUCUUACUCCAUAUUUGAGAAGAUUGUGAUGUAAAACAGUGACCUCAAGUAUUCAAGGGCGUGAGAAUCUGAAGUGAACGGGCUACGUUAUGUAUCCUAUCACUGAGGUAGUGAACACUGUUAGGGAGCAGUUGCAUCAUGGAACUCUAAAAAUAAAGUUUUAGGACUGAGUGUAUAGUUUUUGAUUCGGGGAGAACCCAUGCUAACAUGGAACUAAACGAGCACAGGAAUAGUUCAUUCUGGUUGGAUGAAUGCAUUGUCCGCCUGUUUUCAUGCAUAGCUGCCAGUGUGCAGGAUGAACAGGUUGAUGUUUCAUAUCUGUUUCAGAGGAAAUCUUUUGUCUAAUUUAUUGAGAAGUCUAAAGGUUAUAGUAAUCCCAUUUUUAUCUGAUUGUGUAUGUGAUAUAUUGCAUUGAGAACUCACUGCAAGAAGUUUAUUUAACUAUAUGUACAUCUUUUUAGCUUUCUUGAGUGUUAUGUCAAUUGUGAUAAAAACUGUUAUCAACAUAGGCAUCUUUAAAUCUUUUAUAUAUUUUAAAUUAUCAUCCAACUUCAAAGCUAGUGCUUAUUGCUAUGUACAAAGUUUUACUUAAGUGUUUUUAGUUUUAGCAUGUAGUCUUCCAUUAUUCUUCAGAUCAGUGUCACUCUAUACAAAGUCGGCAUCAUGCAACUCUUUCUGAAAAUUGUAUUGAAGAAGGAUGGUUUUAAAUGAUAUUCUAUAAUACUGUUAUAUGAUGUGCAGAGUUACAUCCCUUGGGAUGCUAGGAUGUGCUGAUCAUUGAUUUGAGUCCCAGAAUUAACAUGAUUGUGAACAUUGUAUGUCAGCACUAUACCUGCAGGGUUCAUGAAAGUGAUAAACGUCCUACACCGACAUCACUCUAGGCUCGCAAGCAGUGAUACUGCUGAAAUACUGGUCAGAGUGAUGUUGUUGAACCAAUCUGAAUACUGUGAUGUUAAACCUCACCCGGAUACUGAUCAGAGAAACUACUUGAUGAUACUUAAAGAAAACCUCAACCUUCUUUUCCCCAGAUGGACAUGGGUGAUCUCAUUAUGUUAUGAAAGGGCUUAGCCAGCUGUUUUACAUGAAUGUGAUUGAUAGUCCUCAUGCCAAUGCUUGUUUGGAGAGUACCCAUGUUGUAUGGUAUGUCAGUACACCUCCUAGGAAGUAGGGGGCGGCGGGGUGGCCUUGUGGUUAAAGCAUUCACUCGUCACACCGAAGACCUGGGUUCGAUACCCACAUGGGUACAAUGUGUGACGCCCAUUUCUGGUGUCCCCAGCAAUGAUAUUGCUGGAAUAUUGCUAAAAGUGGCAUAAAACCCAACUCACUCACUCACUUAUCGAAAGUGGGAAUCUGUAUUGUUGAAAGCAGUGCCCAGUUCACUCCAUGUAGGCGACAUGGAUGACCCAGUCGUCAGUUGGCCCAGUAGAGCUGCUUUACUUGGGUAUGAAACCUCCAGUUGUGGGUUCAAAUCCCCAUUAUAUUUCUGGGUUGGCCCACACCAUACCUGUGGUCAAGGGUUUCACUUCAAUUUUUCCUGUCCCAUUCCGCUGAUGUGAUGAGAGCUGGUAUACUGUUGGUGUGGUACUGAAACAAACUCACUCACUCACUCACAGAAAACGUUUUUUCCACUGUUUGCUGGCCUUUCAGUUGACAGUUUAGGCUGCCCGAUGACGACAGUAGUGGCUUGUAUUUUCAGUAUUAUUCAAUUAUUCAUACUCCUCAGCUCAUAGGGCUUUUAAUUUAUUUGCUAUACUACAUGACAUUUGUUUUCAGCAGAAGGCAAAGAACCGUAUGGGUUUCAGCAAACAAAUAUGAAGACAGGCCAAUAAUUGUAAUGUGUCAAUGCAGAACAGGAGGUUCUUUCUCUGCAGAUCACCACCAUGGGCUGGAGACAAUGGCUGGGGCUGCCAUUCCCCUUCCAGAGUUAUCUCCUUGAUGCAGUGAUAGAUACAGUGAGUGAUGAGUUGGGUUUUACGCCACUUUCAGCAAUAUUCCAG